GCUCCUCGGCCCGGACCGCCUCCGGGAGCGCCCACCCCGCCCCGCCGGCCCCAUCACCCCCGCCGCGGCCGCCCCCUCUCCGGGGCCCCUCUUCUCCCUACCUCGCCCCCCUUCCCGCUCCGGUCCUCUUUGUCCCCACUGCCUCGGAGCGCUCCUCUCUCCCCUCCUUUCCUCGGCCGAAGCGGACGCCAGCCCUGCGUCCCGUGUGUCCCACCCUCCUCCUGCGCGACCACAGCUUCCCCGGGCCCCAGCAUCCCCAAGCCGUCUGCUCCCUUCCUGUCGCUUUCCUCCCCAUGACCCCCUUCCUUCUUCAUGGGUGCCUGUCCCCGGGCCCCUCUCCUCGACCCCGCCUUGCCUUUCGAAUGUCCCCUGCGUGGACACACCUAACCCAGACGCCAACCUGCACGAGUGUCUCCCGGUAGCCGGGAGCCGGGACCCCAAGUUCACCUGUAGGAUUUCCCAGAAGGGGUGUUGGGGCCUGACCUUUCACAGAAGCCCAGGGCAGGAAGGAAAUGAAGGUGGUAAUGGAGUUUUGAAGACUCUUCAGAACUGGUGCUUGGGUGGAACAUCUUGAGGAGGAAGUAACUGUUUAUUCAAGAAGGUUCUCUACUGUUCCUCAAAAUGUCUUCUUCACUGUGAAAUAAAGUCAGUUUCAUAAGGCAUGCAGAUUGUCAUGCAAACACCACCCUGAGCAUUCUAGAUCAUACCUCCUCACCUUCCCUUUUCUUUCUGAUCCCCUGAGGGUAGCUCAUUAUAUGCCCCUCCCUACCCCUUCUUGGGAAUGCUGCAGCCAUAAAUCUGGAGAGGUCAUUAGAAUUACGAACUCUGGUUGGUGUCUCACAUACCUACAACAGCAACAACAACAACACAAUUAUAGCCACUGUAGAGCCAAUGUCCUGGUUAAUGUUUGUGUAACUGGCCAAUUCUCAGGCCCAGAGAAAGGAGUUUAAGAAAGUUUUUGCAUCUCACCAGUCUAAAACUUCUUCUGCAGUCCAAAACCACAUUUCAACUAUUGUUUAACUGAAAGACUGAGCCCUCUUAAUCUGGAACCACCAACUAAAUUCCCCCUGUGUGCUUAAACACCAAGUUAGAGAGCUGUGUUCAGUGCCAGUGAGAAAAAGUAGAGUGUGAUUACCCCAUCUUACCCACAGCUGAAACCUGUGUCAUUUAUUUUUCAACAAAUGCUGACUGUGCCUUUCUAACUAUAUGCUCCUACGUUUCCAGAAAUGGGAAAAAGCAUGAUCCCUGUUUAUACUAAACAUGACAAGACAUGAGGAAAGUAGUAUAAUAAUGAAAUAUUGUAAUGAGUGCCAUAGGAAAAGCAUUCUUAGGCUAGUGUAGUCAACAAACAUUUAUUUACAGAAAUUGUUACAGGUAAUAUGUUAGUGUGCUGCUUAGAAAAGGCGGGGAUCAUUUAUGAUCAGGAUAAUCAGAGGAAACUUCAUGGAGAAGGCAUUUGAAAGUAGAUAGCAUUUUGGUGAGGCAAAAGGGAUGAAAAAAUACACUAGUGGAGGGAGAUUUUGAACACAGUUAUUAGAGAGAAAAUAUUCCAUGUGUGGUGGGAAUUUUGGGUUGCAUCAGCCAUUUGUUGGGUAGAUUAAGCUUCAGUAACAAAUAACCUUUAAUAUCUUAGUGGGUUACCAGCACAGAGGACUAUUUCUCAGCCCCGUUCCAGUCCACCACCCAUCAGCUGCUGUUCAUUUGCACAUCUUCAUCUCAGGACCAAAGCUGAAAAAGAAGCUUCUAUCUGGGGCAUGUGGGUCUUGUAGCAGAGGAAAAAGAGAGAGUGGAAACCCGCUACAGUUGUCAAAGCUGCUCACCUCAUUCCCGCUCACUUUUCACUGGGCAAAGCAAAUCAGAUGGCCAAGCCCCAUGUCAAUGGGGCAGAAAGUAUGAUCCUCCCGGAGGGACUGGUCUGGCAAAGAGUAAGGAGGAGUCCCCUAUUUUGCAAUAAUGUAGUCGGUGCCAUGGAAAGAGUGUUUUAGAGACCUACCAAAAGUUUCAGGCAGCAAGCAAAAUUGUUUAGUAAAAGGAGUGAGUGAGUGUUGAGGGGAAGAGUUUGGUGAGAUAAGAUGCCGGGAAGUGAUAGGGGGAAGGAGACAGGCUGGGAAGUGAAACAUUAUAAAGUAUUGAAGGCUGGGCAGCUGAGUUAGAUUCGAUGCAAAAGGAUGUAUGAUGGCAUGAAAAAACGCAGCUGUGAGUUCUGAUCUAAAGUUUGUUUUGACCCAUAUAGAGCAGACUCAUUUAACAUUUAAUUAGUUUAUACUGUGUGUCAGUUGUGGUGGCAGGUAGACAUUUGCAUAGAUCUAUAUUUUAAAUUUUGAUCCUCAUGACACCUCUCUGGGUUAGAUAAGUAUUAUUCUCUUUGUUAAGCUGAAGGAGGCUCACCAAGGUUGAAUGACUUGCUUAAGGACACAAAAGCAGCACACAGAACUGUGAUGCAAAGUGAGGUCUUUCUACUGCAUCACUGCAGGGCAAAGAAAUUAAAAUGUCACCUUUCUUUAGUAUUGACUUGUUAUUCUUUAUCUUCUCCUUAAAUACACAGUCUGAAAGCAAGGUUAAUAUGAUGCUUUUUCUCAUAUUAAUUAAAAUGAUGUUUAUAUAACUAAUCCUUGCAUAGUACAACUUCAUAAGUGAAUAAAAAAGAGACAGAUCUUUAACUGAGGUAUUUAUUAUAAAAUUUCGUGGCAGAGACAGUUACUUCUAACCAAAUACAGAAUGCUCUCCACUAUGUAUUUCCCAGUUUUUCCUGCUGUUAGGUGAGGAGCAGCUGAGGCAAUAAAGAAUUGGUGUGCUUCCUCCAUAUCUUUCUUGACCUGCUGUGGUGUCCUUGGAAGACACAUGCACCAGAUGGAAGAAGACAAUUCAUGCCUCAGAAUUCACAUGAGCGAAACCAUGUCUUGAUGGUAUUGCACUACAAGAUAUCCAGUGUCUAUUUGUUACAGCAGCAUAGCCCAACCUAUCCUGAUUAAUACAGAUCCUUCUGACUUUAAUUGAUACAAGGAAAGUGACCAUAUCUGUCUUGCACAUCCUCUUAUCCCUACUGCUGAAUACAGGACCUCCCACAUAAUAUAUGCUCAAUAAAGUUUGAUUAGUGGAAAAUGAAUGAAUCUCAAAUUGAGUCUGGCCUCUGUCUACUAUUUGGUUAAACCACUUAUUUACUGCUUUUAGAAACCAGUGGUUGAUCAAUCUUUUUGAUAUAUCAUUUCAUCAGAUCACUCCUCAGAUUAAGACUUUAUUAUAUAUUUAAUCAAUUUUAAACUCCUUCCUUUGACAUUCAAGGUCCCCAUAAUCUCACCUAGAUUCCUACAACUUUACCAAUUUAUUGCUCUAAUCCAAUCUAACCUAUCACUACUGGCCUGUGACCCCUGGUCACUAUAUUCACUGUUCUAGGGACAAACAUUUAGUGUUCUUAAGCAAAUCAUUUCAAGUCUCUGAGCCUCAGUUUCUCAUUCUGUAAAGUUGUUAUUUGUAGCAAAAGACAUAAUGCAUACAAAAGUUUAAGUUAUGCAGCAUUAUGAAAAUCCAAAUUUAUUUUGUACUUGUUGUUGGUAUAUAUUAAAUAAAUUGAUAGAUCAGAGGAGUGACAUUAAAAAAUGUGUUGCCAUUUCAGUAGCACAUUUGUCAAAAUCUCCCAUGACAAUCUUGCAUGGAAUUGCUGUCUAGGGAGAAAUGGUAAAGGAAACCAGGGAGACCCUGUUGGUUAUCUACUCCAAAUUCAUUCCCUCUUUUUUUUCUUAACUCUACCUCUAUUUUAUUUAAGUUCUGCCCUUCUCCUUGGGACCAUAUUUAUCUAGGGAGGAUCCUUUACAAUGGCCCUAUUUUCACUGCCAAUGAUUACUGUAGUCAUGAACUCUGAUGCGUUUCUGGUUGAUAAGUUGUGGAAAAGAGUGUAAGAGGGCUUCUAAGAAGGGUUUCUGUGCUUUUAAAAAGAAACACUCAGAAAAUAUAUAAUAAUUUCUUCUUCUGGACAG
Molecule: long non-coding RNA, 3974 nt
Filed under: Homo sapiens (human)
Lineage: Eukaryota; Metazoa; Chordata; Mammalia; Primates; Hominidae
Description: non-protein coding lnc-CHD9-4:12
Source: RNAcentral